RNAcentral lists this unclassified non-coding RNA (5302 nucleotides) under Hevea brasiliensis (rubber tree). The record is from RNAcentral. Lineage: Eukaryota; Viridiplantae; Streptophyta; Magnoliopsida; Malpighiales; Euphorbiaceae.
AAAAAAAAAAGUCUUGGCAGCUUGAUAUAGGUUGGGCACAAAAUUUCUAUUUCCACAAGGUAUCCAGUAAUAAAUAAUAAAGCCAAAUUUCCCCAACCCACGGCUUCUGAUUGUGGGCAGAGGUAUGCUAGACCUGGAAUAUAUACCAGCAUAAAUAUGAAGUAAACACAUCUACAAAAUAUGAUCUUCGAACCAGUUAACCCAGAACCAAAUAUCGCCCUAACCCAAAAGCAAAAAAUUUAUGUACAUGCCACAGCAGUGCUAAGCUUGCUUUCCCUGUAUGCUGCUCCAGAAUUAUGCUUCGAAAACAAAAAAGCUAAUAGUGGAAACCUGGUCCCUAUUCUGAGAUAAGUUGACCUGGCAGUCCACCCGUUAAACUACGCCUUGCUGCCCCAUCAAUGGGUCUAAGCUUUCUUUACUACAUAAUUUAUGUAUUUGUAUGUGUAGAACCAAACUCAUUCAUAGGUGGAUAUUGAACCUGUGCCGAAUCAACUACAGGUGUGACAGUAAAUGCUGGUUCAAGAUUUUCAUUUACACUCUUCUUUGGCCUCUUUAGCCUCUUGGGUCUUUGUGAUUGUGGAUCAGCAUUUGGCAAAGGAUCAUCCAAUUCGUAGUCCAUCAAUCCGGAGUUUGGUUCGUUCAUCUUUUGUGAAUUUCUUGGAUUUGGCAGAGUCUGCUUCUCAGAAGCAACUUUCCUCUUUUUGUUACUGGAUUUUGCUUUCUCUGUAUCCUGAGAAUGCUCAUGUCCAGUACCCUGAGCCUCACUUUCUGUCAAAUCUUCCAAAGUUGCAUCCCCUUCUGCAUCAAGUCGUAUGGCCUUUGUUGGCUUUUUCUUUUGUCUAUCUUUGGCCUGCACUGGAAUUUCUCUCAACUUCUGCUCCAACUGGGCAUCAUCCAGAAGUAGUGAUACAACAUCCUCAGGGGCCAAAAGAUCACCCUGAACAUGACCACCUGUCAUGACAAGCUGUUGGACAGUACUCUUCUGGCUUGCUCUUUGUAGAAUCUUCUCUUCAACAGUUUCUUUACAAAUAAGCCGGUAGACAGUAACAUCUUUUGUCUGACCCAGCCGAUGAGCUCUAUCCAUAGCCUGCAAAUCUAAUGUUGGAUUCCAAUCACUUUCAUAAAAAAUGACCGUAUCAGCGGCGGUCAAGUUGAUACCCAGUCCACCAGCUCUGGUGCUUAGUAAGAAUACAAAAAUAUCACUCCUAAGCUGGAAGUCUCUGACCAUGUCCCUUCGAUCCAUAAUGGUGGAGGAUCCAUCAAGUCUAAGAUAUCUAUAUUUCCUAUAAUUCAUGUAGUCCUCAAGAAUAUUCAGCAUUUUCGUCAUUUGUGCAAACAAUAGAACCCGGUGGUUUUCAGCUCGCAAGCGUUUCAACAAUAUAUCAAGUGUUUGAAGCUUCCCAGAGUCCGUGAGUAACUUUGCUGGGUCAAAGCUUUGCAUGGGAGGACAAGACCCAAAUAUCUUGUACGUCAACUGAAGAGCAGGUUGUGAAACUGGUAAUUCAGAAUCAAUCUCUUGAACUAGAGGAUGAGGGCCAUCUGGUUUUCUGGGUCCAUUAAACUCAGAUGUACGUGCAAAACCAAUUAACAACCUUUUAACCCAGGGUUGAUGCAGCUCUUCAUUCAUUUUGUAAGCAAAAUUCCUAUCUGAGCAUUGGGGGCAAAUCGGAGGAGCUCUAGCUCGUGGGAUGAAUGUGUAUGUCGAAUGAAGAGGCUUGAUGUUGGACAGAAGCCUGUCCUGAUAAGAGGUGACUAAAGCCUCAAAUGGACCAUCAGCAGGCCCUGUUGGAAAUCUUCUUCUUAAAACAUUUGUCUCAGAUCUAGAUGGCAUCAAUAACAUCCGAGUAACAGCCCUUACUUUUCCCCUAUCAAGGUCAUUAUAGUGAAGGUCAUUAUCCAUGUCUUCCAUUAGCAAGUCCAAGAUUGCAUCCAAAAACUGACGGUCCCAUCUCAAAAUAGAAAAUAAUAGCCUCUCCAUAAACGACCCAGUUGCCAGAAAUGCAGCCUCUGCUGGUGACAAAUCCAUCAAAUGUGUAAAACCAAAUGUCCCACUCUUAACAAGCAAGCUAUCGGAGUUUUUCUCUUGCGUGAAUAUAGACCGGUAGACAUUUUCUGGGGAGAAUAUGUUAAAAUGUUUCUGAAAUAAUUCUUUGCAAACACCAAGCCUAACCGCUGAAGAAUGUGCUUCAGUGCUUGUCUGGCUGUGCAUUAGUUUUGGUAUCUUGUAUGAAAUAGGAUUUUGACUUCCAGAAUAGUGUAUAUCCUCCAAAUCCCCAAAGGGAGGGGGAAGAAGAGAAUUUGGUAUCUCUCCAAAAUAGAGAUAGGUGUUUCCCUCAUUCCUUUCAAAUAACUCAGGAUGAUUACAUACCUUCCUCAACUGAAUGACUAUAUUCAUUAGAUUCAUAAUUUUCUUCUCAUUAAGAUGUCCUCGAUUCCCGUCAAACAGCUCGGCAAGAGAUAUCUUGUUCUUGAUGGCUUGAUAGAAAGCUUGCUGCCGAGAGCUUAACUUGCAGUGUACUGUAACCUCUUUUUUCUUGGUCAGCUCUGAAAUCACAUCUUUUUUUACUCUUCGUAGCAUAAAAGGCUUCAAAAUUGCAUGCAACCGAUUAAGCUGAUGCUCAUUCAAAGUGCCCCCAUGCUCUGCAUGAUUUUCAAUUCCUUUGGAAAACCACUCAUUGAACUGUUCAUGGCUGUCAAAUAAUGUUGGCAUAAUGAAAUGUAGAAGGGCCCACAACUCAGCCAUAUUAUUUUGGAUUGGUGUACCAGUAAGAAGCAAGCGGUUACGACAAUUGAAACUGAGCAGUGUCUUCCAUCUUAUACUGCUGGAACUUUUUAUAGCCUGGGCUUCAUCCAACACCAUGUAUUGCCAUUUCACACGCUGGAAAUACUUCUGAUCAGACACUAGCAGUUGAUAGCUGGUAAUGAGAAUGUGAAAUCCAGCCUCCCUUCUGUAAAGACGCUUAGGAUUGAUGUUUUUCCGUAGUAUCGUUCGCUCUUGAAUGCCACCCCAAUAAGGAAGGGUUUUCAAGUCAGGACAGAAACGGCUAAUUUCAUCAGCCCAGUUAUUCAAGACAGAAGCAGGUGCAACAACAAGAAAUGGCCCCCAUAUAUUUUUCUCCUCAGCCAAAUGAGCCAAGAAUGCCAUAGCUUGGAUAGUCUUUCCAAGGCCCAUUUCAUCAGCAAGUAUACCAUUUAAACCCUGCUCAUAACAAUUAACCAGCCACUGAAGACCCUUCAGUUGAUAUUCUUUAAGGCUACCUUUAAACAACUCUGGUGUCUGAACAGUUGAUGUAACAGGCAUGGUGGAGGGGUUAUGGAGAUCUAUGUUACUGGAUCCAGCAACUGAGGCAUCAAUGUCAGCAGCUUGACGCAGCUUUGAGCACUCAUUAUCAAAAGCACUUGUUAACUUUUUCUGCUUAGAGACUGCAUCUUGAGCAGCUUUCAGAGCCUCUUUUCUCAAUUCAGCAUCCUCAGGGUCUUCUUCAUCACCAAGUCCUGUUCCAGAAGUGCUCAAAAGCAUUUCUUCUUCAUCUAAUUUCUCAUCUUCCACAGGCAAAGCUUCAGAAGGCUGUGAAUUAGGCUUAUUUUGCAUGAAGUGACUGUAAAGUUCAGUUUGCUGAAUGAGAAAAUUAAGCCUUUGUUGCUGUCUCUUUGCUUCUCGAAGCUCCUGUUCACGCUUCAAAGCUUCUGCAGCUUCUCUCUCCUCCUUUUUCCUCACUUCUGCCAUCUCCUUAUCCACUCGCUUCCAAAAUAGCAGCAUAUCUCUAGCCAACUUCCUAGUGCGAAUUGCAGCACCCCUCAUCAGUUUGAGUGAUCUACUAACCUUCAAUUUUACCUCUCUUUGACAGUUCUCUGAGAACCUCUUCGCAUCAAUCAGUUGCUUCCUAUGGAAAGUAGUGAAAAUUCUAUGAUGCUUUGGUACGUCUCUUCUUACAAUGUUCACCCAAACCUUACCAAUCUUCUCCAUUUCCUCCCUCUCAAUGACGGCAGGGUCUUUUUUUACCUUUGGCUUCUUGGGUAGACUUCGCUCUAUGAUCUCGUACGUAUCUCCUUUCUCCAAAACCUUCACAUAGUAAACCUGCAACACACCACCCUCAGACAAAAUAGACCGUUGUAUAUUUCCAGCUGCUCCUUCUGGGAUGGAGGAAUUCAAAGCAGCAUCAGAUAUUUUCAGACUGAACUUCUGGGCGGAGUUAGAAGCUGCCAUUGCCUUCAAUCUUGCCUGAAGUGAUUCGUACUGGGACUGGGGCUCCCCCAUCGCUGCUCUGCUUCUAGGUCCAAACCUUUUAUCAUGAGAUAUCAUUUCCGCCAAUGACCCUAAAUCCAGGGUUCCCUUCAAGUAAAAUUCCUCUACCCUGAUGUCUGAGAAGCUUGGCAAGUUCAAUGAUGCUGCCAACUUAUCAUAAGAGGGAGGUAUCCUAUAAGUGACACCCUCACCAAUAUCCAAAUAAGCAGGUUCAUACGAUAUUUUCGGUGUAUGGUCUGGUUCAACAUAGUCUCCACGCUUUUGGGGUGUAACAUCAUUGAGCCAUUCUGAUUUGGUUUCCAUAUCAUACAACCCUCCUCGCAGCUCAUUACCCAACUUCCUGGUCUUUGAACUACCCAUACUGGUCCUUGGAACGUGAAUCCCCAUCCGUGUCAAAGCUGGUGCAGGACUUGAUGAAUCCUUAAACCUCCUUUUGUACUUCUGAAUGUGCUCUCCCAGCAUUGAUCGAUAUCGCUCCUCCGUGAUGUGUGUACCGUAGUAUCCGUCUCCCUCCUCUCUGUCACUGUUAUUAGACCGCUUCUUUCUCUUAGCUAAACUCAAAUCCCUCUCCGAAAUAGUCCCAUUACCAUAAUUUGCCAUUGCACCACCUUGGCUACCUCUGCUCUCAUCCUGACUACUAUUCCCAUAAUAAUCAAAGUCAUCAUCCGGUUGUGGAACUUUGAAGUUCAUCAAAGACUCAAGAUUAAAGAGAUUGGAAUAAGAGAGUGAGUCCUUGGCUUGCCUCCUGUGCUCCAUGACGCAGAGACCGCGGAGAAAAUCUUAAGAAGCAAAACCCUAGGAUUUUGAAAAGCAUGGAGAGAAGCCAAGGCAGUGAGGGAAAAAGAAAAACAAUAAUUAGAAACCCUAAGGAUAUUGCGAGAGAAAAGAGGAGAGGAAGGUUAGUGUGCGUAGGAUAAGGGGAGUUGAGAGAGAAAGAGAAGGACCGAAGGAGACACAGACGGUAUAGGAAGCAUCGGGAGGUGUUAACGUGCGCCGGUUGGGCGCCAUUUUGUUAACAUGCACUGUUUUUUCUUUUAUGAGUGUUGUGUGUUUCGU